GAUGAACGCUGGCGGCGUGCCUAAUACAUGCAAGUCGAACGGACAGACGAGGAGCUUGCUCCUCUGACGUUAGCGGCGGACGGGAGAGUAACACGUGUAUAACCUACCUAUAAGACUGGGAUAACUACGGGAAACCGGAGCUAAUACCGGAGAAUAUAUUGCACCGCAUGGUUCAAUGGUUAAUUACGGUGUUGCUGUCACUUAUAGAUGCAUCUGCGCCGCAUUAGCUAGUUGGUAAGGUAACGGCUUACCACGGGGAGGAUGCGUGGCCGACCGGAGAGGCGGAUAGGCCACACUGGAACUGAGACACGGUCCAGACUCCGACGGGAGGCCGCAGUAGGGAAUCUUCGGCAAUGGGAGAAAGGAUGACGGAGCAACGCGGAGUGAGUUAUGAAGGCAUUCGGAUCGGAAAAAUCUGUUAUUAGGGAUGAACAAAUGUGUAAGUAACUAUGCACGUCUUGACGGUAACGAAUCAAAAAGCCACGGCUAACUACGUG
This 497-nucleotide ribosomal RNA is filed under the name uncultured bacterium. Its description in RNAcentral is "partial 16S ribosomal RNA". It matches the Rfam family "Bacterial small subunit ribosomal RNA", at positions 28 to 507 of the family's 1533-position model. The record is from RNAcentral.